RNAcentral lists this ribosomal RNA (502 nucleotides) under uncultured bacterium. RNAcentral describes it as "partial 16S ribosomal RNA". It matches the Rfam family "Bacterial small subunit ribosomal RNA", at positions 28 to 507 of the family's 1533-position model. The record is from RNAcentral.
GACGAACGCUGGCGGCGUGCCUAAUACAUGCCAGUCGAACGAACCGCGACUAGGUGCUUGCACUUGGUCAAGGUGAGUGGCGAACGGGUGAGUAACACGUGGGUAACCUACCUCAUAGUGGGGGAUAACAGUCGGAAACGACUGCUAAUACCGCAUAGGACAUAGGAUCACAUGAUCCAGUGAGGAAAGGUGGCGCAAGCUAUCGCUACGAGAUGGACCCGCGGUGCAUUAGCUAGUUGGUAGGGUAAAGGCCUACCAAGGCGAUGAUGCAUAGCCGACCUGAGAGGGUGAUCGGCCACAUUGGGACUGAGACACGGCCCAAACUCCUACGGGAGGCAGCAGUAGGGAAUCUUCCGCAAUGGACGCAAGUCUGACGGAGCAACGCCGCGUGAGUGAAGAAGGUCUUCGGAUCGUAAAGCUCUGUUGUUAGAGAAGGACAGCGCAUAGAGUAACUGUUAUGCGUGUGACGGUAUCUAACCAGAAAGCCACGGCUAACUACGUG